Molecule: ribosomal RNA, 253 nt
Filed under: uncultured bacterium
Lineage: Bacteria
Description: partial 16S ribosomal RNA
Rfam family: Bacterial small subunit ribosomal RNA
Source: RNAcentral
UACGUAGGGUCCGAGCGUUGUCCGGAAUUACUGGGCGUAAAGAGCUCGUAGGUGGUUUGUCGCGUUGUUCGUGAAAACUCACAGCUUAACUGUGGGCGUGCGGGCGAUACGGGCAGACUAGAGUACUGCAGGGGAGACUGGAAUUCCUGGUGUAGCGGUGGGAUGCGCAGAUAUCAGGAGGAACACCGGUGGCGAAGGCGGGUCUCUGGGCAGUAACUGACGCUGAGGAGCGAAAGCGUGGGGAGCGAACAGG